RNAcentral lists this ribosomal RNA (1391 nucleotides) under uncultured bacterium. Its description in RNAcentral is "partial 16S ribosomal RNA". It matches the Rfam family "Bacterial small subunit ribosomal RNA", at positions 36 to 1399 of the family's 1533-position model. The record is from RNAcentral.
CUGGCGGCAUGCCUAACACAUGCAAGUCGAACGGGGUUUAUAUGACGGAACUCUCCCCGAGGGAAGAUAUAUAAACCUAGUGGCGGACGGGUGAGUAACGCGUGGGCAACCUGCCCUGUACCGGGGGACAACAGCCAGAAAUGGCUGCUAAUACCGCAUAAGCCUGCUGUGCCGCAUGGCACAGCAGGGAAAACCACGGUGGUACAGGAUGGGCCCGCGUCUGAUUAGUUAGUUGGCAGGGUAACGGCCUACCAAGACAACGAUCAGUAGCUGGCUUGAGAGAGUGGACGGCCACAUUGGGACUGAGACACGGCCCAAACUCCUACGGGAGGCAGCAGUAGGGAAUCUUCCACAAUGGACGAAAGUCUGAUGGAGCAACGCCGCGUGAGUGAAGAAGGGUUUCGGCUCGUAAAGCUCUGUUGGUAGUGAAGAAAGAUAGAGGUAGUAACUGGCCUUUAUUUGACGGUAAUUACUUAGAAAGUCACGGCUAACUACGUGGCAGCAGCCGCGGUAAUACGUAGGUGGCAAGCGUUGUCCGGAUUUAUUGGGCGUAAAGCGAGUGCAGGCGGUUCAAUAAGUCUGAUGUGAAAGCCUUCGGCUCAACCGGAGAAUUGCAUCAGAAACUGUUGAACUUGAGUGCAGAAGAGGAGAGUGGAACUCCAUGUGUAGCGGUGGAAUGCGUAGAUAUAUGGAAGAACACCAGUGGCGAAGGCGGCUCUCUGGUCUGCAACUGACGCUGAGGCUCGAAAGCAUGGGUAGCGAACAGGAUUAGAUACCCUGGUAGUCCAUGCCGUAAACGAUGAGUGCUAAGUGUUGGGAGGUUUCCGCCUCUCAGUGCUGCAGCUAACGCAUUAAGCACUCCGCCUGGGGAGUACGACCGCAAGGUUGAAACUCAAAGGAAUUGACGGGGGCCCGCACAAGCGGUGGAGCAUGUGGUUUAAUUCGAAGCAACGCGGAGAACCUUACCAGGUCUUGACAUCCAGUGCAAACCUAAGAGAUUAGGUGUUCCCUUCGGGGACGCUGAGACAGGUGCUGCAUGGUUGUCGUCAGCUCGUGCCGUGAGGUGUCGGGUUAAGUCCCAUAACGAGCGCAACCCCUACCGUUAGUUGCCAGCAGGUCAAGCUGGGCACUCUGACGGGACUGCCGGUGUAAGCCGAGAGGAAGGUGGGGAUGACGUCAAAUCAGCACGGCCCUUACGUCCGGGGCUACACACGUGUUACAAUGGCAGGUACAGAGGGCAGCUAGCCAGCGAUGGGAUGCGAAUCUCGAAAGCCUGUCUCAGUUCGGAUUGGAGGCUGAAACCCGCCUCCAUGAAGUUGGAUUCGCUAGUAAUCGCGCAUCAGCCAUGGCGCGGUGAAUACGUUCCCGGGCCUUGUACUCACCGCCCGUCA